Molecule: long non-coding RNA, 4822 nt
Filed under: Salvia miltiorrhiza (redroot sage)
Lineage: Eukaryota; Viridiplantae; Streptophyta; Magnoliopsida; Lamiales; Lamiaceae
Description: long non-coding RNA (SMIL_LNC002550)
Source: RNAcentral
CGAAGACUGAUCAUCCGACAAAUCGAGUUGUUGCAAUUUGUAGCAGUGCUUCAUCCUUAGUGUACGAAGCCUCGGGAGGCUUCCACGUUGAGGUCUCCAUUGCACCAAAUCGGUGUCUUCAAUUCGAAGUUCAAUAAGAUUCAAAAAACUCCCCGGUUUUAUUUCCCACUCUGGGCCUCGAAAGGCAUAGCAAUCUAAUGAGAGAACCUCGAGUUUUGGAAGCAGCGAACCUAUGUCAUUUAGAGACACCCAAGGAUACCCCAACCCACUCAAAGAUAACAGUACGAGACUUGAUGGGAAUAUUGAAAGAGAAAAAAUAGUAGGAAACUCACGCGUUAUCUCGGGAUUCGUGAUAUAAUAUACAAGUGCUUCCAAAUUCUGGAGUUUGAUAUAUAACUCAAAGAACUCAAUGGGUUGGUUUCAUCAUCGUCAUAAGGCUUCAACUCCACUUGAAUUCCUAAUGCUUGUAAAUUAGGAAUUCUUUUGAGAACUUCCCUAGUACAACUGUUUGCACUCACACCAAAAAUUUGGGUGAGUUUAUUCAAGGUAGCAUCAUUAGAAUUAGGGGUUGGUAAGUCCCUUCCCAGUAGCUCUAAAUGCUGAAGUUCUUGCAUGUUCCAAAUUUGCACGGGCACAAAAGACUGAACUCCACGUUUUUUAAUGUAUCAUAUGUCUACCAAUAAUCAAAAAUUGAAGGUGAAAAAGGUUGGAUAUGGAAGCAGGGAGGUCACCGUUGUAAGUUAUGGCAAGAUAUCGUAGACAAACUAGUUUGAAAAUUUCAGUUGGGAUAUGGUAAAAUCGGACAUUAAUAGCAUGUAGUACCUUGAGCAACUUGAAACCCAUGGCAUGUAUUGGCAGUGGAUAUGGGUGAUAAGGACCAUAGCAAAGGAGAGAACGGACAAUGGAUGCACAAUCACUUCUUAUCGAAUCACACACUUGUUUGAAGCAGAAUAAACUGUUCCAAUGGGCACACAAGCGGCGUUGGUCUUUUAUAACAUCGUCACAACUUUGUAAGACAUGCAGAAACUUGACCCUACUAGCUUCUUCCCUACACACGUGCUGCCAGCAAGAAUGCACACGAUACUUGCUAUACCAAUAGUCAUCAUCAUGUGAUGUGUCGAGAACAAGAUGAUACCACAUACAAAGCUUGCCCAAGCAUGUCUGCCAAAAAUAUUCAAAACUUUCUUCUCCACUAGGUUGAAGAAACAUAUCAGCACUCAACGUAGCGUUGAGCGUGGUUAGUUCAAUAUCCAUAUAUGGACAGUAAGCUCCCAUGUAGAGAAAUAACAUUUUUAAAUAUUGGGGUAAGUAAUCAUAGCUUGGGUAAAGUACCUCUGAUAUUUGAUUAUAUGCAUCUAGGAAGACUGGACUAUGUUGUUUGACGAGUACCUCAGUCCAGUAUUCUGGGGUCUUGUCGGCUUUUGAUAGGAGCUCUGCAACCGUGAUUAUCAUAAGAGGAAGACCUUCACAUUUCUUGGCAAUCUUCUCUCCGAGUUUCUCAAGUUGAGGAGGGAAACCCUCUUCACCAAAAACCUUCUCACCAAGUAGUUCCUUACUUUCUUCUCUAUUCAACAAACCUACUCUUUGGAACCCAUCCUCUGCUAUGCCUGGUAUAUCUUGUCUACUUGUAAUUAAGAAUCGAAUCCUUCCAACAAUAUUCAUUUUUGUCAAGUGAUUUGCUGCUUGUAUCUCCCAAAUAUCAUCCAACACGAUGAGACAUUUCUUAUCCUUCAAUGUUUCUUCCAAUAGUACAACUAAUACCUCCUCCUCAACUCCUUGGGUAAGCAUUUUGUACGUGUUGGGAUCCACUUGAGCUAGAACACAUCGUAAUAGUUCAUUAGAUUCACAUUUUCUGCCCACUUUGACCCAUGCUCGAAACUCAAAAUGGCUCCGAAUUGAUGGAUCUUCAAAAAUAUGCUUAGCAAGAGUUGUCUUUCCAACGCCCGCCAUCCCAAUAAUCGAAUAGUUUUUAUCUUCAAGAAGAUCAUCUCUGGCUUUUCGAAACUCAUCAGAUAAUCCAACCAUCUUUGACUUGAUUCCACCAAAAUCGAUUCUUGAGGAAAUAGGUUCACCUUCUUCUUCUGGCAUAUUCUCCAUUUCAUAAGUGUAUUCCUCCUCCAUCUUCUUCAUCUUCUCGACGAAGCAAUCAACAUGGUGUUGCAGACUCUGCAGCUCUACAGAGAAUGACAAGUUGUCCCUCUCGCUGUCGAGUUGUGGAAGAAUCUGAGGUAAGACAUGGGAUUCGAGUAAAUCUUCAAAUUCCCAAAUUGCCUCUUUGAUUCGUUCAUCCGCAGCAUUCACCUUCGUCCUGAUCUUGCUGCAGCUGGUCUCGUCCAAUUUGAGCAGAACAUUCUGCAAGCGAUCCACCUCGUCGUAGGCAGGUAGUAAGAUCUGUGGAGAGGGGGAAAUGCAAAACAAUUGUAGAAUACAGUGAAUCGUAUUCUUGAGAAAAGUCACUGCACCAUAAUCAGCUGAGGGUAGUAUUUGUGGAGAGUGGGAAACGAGAGAAAUGCGAGACGAUUGUAGAAUACGCUCAAUCGUAUUCUUCAGAGAAUCCGCCGCACCAUAAGCCGCCAUAUCCAAAUAAUCUGCUGAUCGUUGAAAUAAAAUUGCUUCCACAAACUUAGCUCAGAAAUUUUCUUCCAAAACUGUGUGGUAGAAAUCGCCUAAGAAAGAAACGGAGAAUUAUAAUAAGCAAACUGAGAUGAAACAAAUUAAUGAUAGAUGAUCUUUAGCUCUGUGCUGUACCUCUCGUGGAGGAGUUGGCACAAGUCAACGGCGGCGGCGGCGGCAGCUGGUUUUGAUACAAUCUCAGAAACAUUCAAGAAUUUUAGUAAAUGAUUUUGAUACGAUGGUAAAAUGGAUGUAUUGAUGAUUUUGAAGGCAAAUUAAGGUGUGGAAGAAUAAUUACAGGGAAGAUUAAUUAUGAAGAUUGAGCAGUUGAUCAAGCGCGUUGAAAAUUAUAACAGCGGCAAGCAAUCUAACUCAUAAAUAAUGACAAUUUGACAUUUUUACAUAAUUUAAAAUUUUGAAAUAAAUAAAUAUAUUGUGUCUAGUAGUGUACAUUAAAUAAAAAUACUGAUAAAUUUCAAACAUUAAUUUUCUACAUUGUUAGAGGUGUAACUCUGUUUAAUUUAUUUGGAUUAUCGAGUUUGACAUGAAUUUUUACUUAGAUUAGCUUAUCUUUUGAAAAGUUUGAUCAUUUAUAUUUACAUGCAAUUCAUCCAAUUUUUUACUUAUAAAUUAUAUGUCAAACAAAAUUGGAUUUUGGGUGGUUGCAUAUAUAGUCCCUAAUAAAUAAUUUUAACCUUAUAACUCCCUAUUGAAAAAUUAUACUAUUAUAAACAAAUUCUGCUUAUACUAAAUUAUUCAUGAAGCUAACAAAUUUAGGAAUUUGAAAGCUCCUUGUGUUUUGGAUUGCUGGAGUUUGCAUCGAGGUGAUUAGGCACUUUCGUUCUUUUUGGGCUUACGAUUUUUAGUUCGGCCCAUGUUUUCCUUUUUCUUUAGAAUUCUGUUUGGGCUUUGGAUCCUUUAUCGGCCCUUUUAGUUUAUUAGGUGGUGUUGUUUUUUUUUUUUUUGAGGCGGUGUUGCAUGUUGUUUCAAGGGCUUUAUGUUUUAUUUUUCGAUUAAUAUUUAAUUUAAGUAAUUAAUAUCCUUUUUUAAGGGAUUUAACUAAACCGGUAAACUUAAUUUUAAUAAGUAACAGAAUAUAAAUUUUAGCGUGAGUUCGAUUAGACAUGAGAGGUGAUGUAGGAUCAAUCUCAAUAUAUCAUUUGCAAAAGAGAUGGUAAACAAACACAAUAAACAAGCAAUCAAUCUCAGAGAAAUUGAAACAGAAAUAAGUUAAUCGUGGAUUUAAUUCAAUCUGCUCUGGUCUGAUUCUAACACCUUGUUUGAUCCUCAUAUGAAAAUCUAUCUGUAAAGCCGGUUUCUCUGUCUUUUGAGUCUAACCAACUAAUUCCAAGUUCAUUUUGAAAUAUGAAGCCAGAAAUUAACUACUAUACUAGCCAGAAUACUGAGAUUUUUAAGACUAUUAAACAAACAAAUCAACUGAUUACACACAAAUGUCAAAACAAAGUGAAAAUCAUGCAUCACAACUAAUGCUUUCACACAAAUCCAACUUACAACAAUUUCGGUAACAAACUGCAUACACAAUUCAGCAUUCAGGUUUCAUAAUCCCCAACAAAAUCCAAAUCAAGUUACAAAUCCUUAAAUUCAGACGACAAGGUGAUACAAUCUACAUUAUGGGAUAACGCAACGUCUGACCCCUUCAGCUCUCCCAUUUGCCUGAAAAGUGACAGAACUAUGACUAUAACAGAAGAUAUAUAUUUAUGACAUGAAUUGAUUUGGUUUGUAUGUGAAAAAAGAGAAGAAGUAGGGAAGAAACAUUAAGACGUGAUAUAUAUUGCAAAGUAGUGAGACUAACCUGUCAGACAAGUUGCUAAUUCACUUGAGCUCAAAAGAAGAUUCGACGAUAAGUUUGAAGGAAAACUUAUCUUUCAACUGAUUGGCACAAGCCACAGCUAAAGGAUUGCACUCCACUAAUUCAAUGGUCCUGAUCGAAGACUGAUCAUCCGGCAAAUCGAGCUGUUGCAAUUUGUAGCAGUGCUCCAUCCUUAGUGUACGAAGGUUCAAGAGGCUUCCACGUUGAGGUCUCCAUUGCACCAAAUCGGUGUCUUUAAUUACAAGUUCAAUAAGUUUCAAGAAACUCCCCGGUUUUAUUUCCCACUCUGGGCCUCGAAAGGCAUAGCAUUCUAAUCGGAGAUACUUGAGAUUUGGAAGCCGCGAACCAAUGUCAUUUAGAGACCCCCAGGGAUAUCCA